RNAcentral lists this transfer RNA (56 nucleotides) under Henestaris halophilus. RNAcentral describes it as "tRNA-Pro". Lineage: Eukaryota; Metazoa; Arthropoda; Insecta; Hemiptera; Lygaeidae. The record is from RNAcentral.
CAGUAAAUAGUUUAUUAAAAUAUUAUUGUAAUUAAGAAUGGGUUGCUUUUUACUGA